GAUGAACGCUGGCGGCGUGCCUAAUACAUGCAAGUCGAGCGAACGGACGAGAAGCUUGCUUCUCUGAUGUUAGCGGCGGACGGGUGAGUAACACGUGGAUAACCUACCUAUAAGACUGGGAUAACUUCGGGAAACCGGAGCUAAUACCGGAUGAUAUUUUGAACCGCAUGGUUCAAAACUGAAAGACGGUCUUGCUGUCACUUAUAGAUGGAUCCGCGCUGCAUUAGCUAGUUGGUAAGGUAACGGCUUACCAAGGCAACGAUGCAUAGCCGACCUGAGAGGGUGAUCGGCCACACUGGAACUGAGACACGGUCCAGACUCCUACGGGAGGCAGCAGUAGGGAAUCUUCCGCAAUGGGCGAAAGCCUGACGGAGCAACGCCGCGUGAGUGAUGAAGGUCUUCGGAUCGUAAAACUCUGUUAUUAGGGAAGAACAUAUGUGUAAGUAACUGUGCACAUCUUGACGGUACCUAAUCAGAAAGCCACGGCUAACUACGUG
This 497-nucleotide ribosomal RNA is filed under the name uncultured bacterium. Its description in RNAcentral is "partial 16S ribosomal RNA". It matches the Rfam family "Bacterial small subunit ribosomal RNA", at positions 28 to 507 of the family's 1533-position model. The record is from RNAcentral.